Long non-coding RNA from Puntigrus tetrazona (Sumatra barb), 208 nucleotides. RefSeq lists it as uncharacterized. NCBI's taxonomy places the organism in Eukaryota, Metazoa, Chordata, Actinopteri, Cypriniformes, Cyprinidae. The transcript has 2 exons. The record is from RefSeq and is a predicted model, not a curated record.
CGCUGGGGCCAAUCAAACUCAAAGGUCAGAGGCCAGUAGCAGGACUAAAACGUGCUGUGAAGGAUUUGGAGAAGUCAAAGGAAUGAAGUCAUCAUUUUCUUGAUAUUUACUUAAAUCAUUACUAUUAAUCAAUCUUUAUUAGCCACCCAGCAAUUAAAUCUAAAUACAAAUUGCAUUUUGCAGUUCAAUAAAGCACUUUAAAAAAGCA